Molecule: unclassified non-coding RNA, 733 nt
Filed under: Athalia rosae (coleseed sawfly)
Lineage: Eukaryota; Metazoa; Arthropoda; Insecta; Hymenoptera; Athaliidae
Description: misc RNA ENSAEAG00005012669.1
Source: RNAcentral
AUUGUUGCGAUUUCGAGCGGAUACAAAAAGAAAAAUCCGAACGCGGAGGGAUUUUUUUGUUCUUUUUUUGUCAUCUUUCUCUCACAUCACGUAAUAAUGUAGAAAAUUAACAGGGCUCAUUAAUAUUCUGGUGAGAUAUAACACGGUGCGUGAUGAUGCAAAAAUCUGUGUCGAUCGAUUAGGGCGACUGUAAUAUAGAAAGUGGGAGCUUUAGCGGAAGCCGGCAGAAAUACCAGCGCAAGAUGCCUGUGGGCGGUAGGGUUGCUGGCAAGGUCGGCAUAUACAGCACUCUCUACAAUGGACGAAGCCACAGCGGAAUUAACGAAGAGAUUAUUUGGAUUAGCAUAGGAAUGGGUAUAACAAUCGCAAUUCUAAUAACCAUAGCACUGUGCUACAUAGUCAGAGAGAAAUGUCGGAAACGACACGAUGGAUAUUAUGCCUCUUGACGAUCUCUACCUCCGCCCUUGUGGGCGGCACCCUUAACUCCACCGCCAGGAAUACUCGCGAGUCCAACGCCAUCCAAGGGGAGUCCGAAGGCUUAUUACAUCACCGUGUAGUGUAUCGCGAAGUUAAGGAAACUCAACAAACAUCUGCGCGAUGAUAUACGUACGGAACGGGUGAAGCCCGUAACGAAAAAAUCAACAAAGAACGACCCGGUCACGUUUUGCAUAUGAGAAAAAAAAAACAAAAAAUCAUUCAUAACAAUUAGUAAAUAGGGUAUAUAUAAUGCUAG